UACGAAGGGGGCUAGCGUUGUUCGGAAUCACUGGGCGUAAAGGGCGCGUAGGCGGCCGUUCAAGUCGGGGGUGAAAGCCUGUGGCUCAACCACAGAAUUGCCUCGAUACUGGACGGCUCGAGACCGGAAGAGGUCAGUGGAACUGCGAGUGUAGAGGUGAAAUUCGUAGAUAUUCGCAAGAACACCAGUGGCGAAGGCGGCUGACUGGUCCGGUUCUGACGCUGAGGCGCGAAAGCGUGGGGAGCGAACAGG
RNAcentral lists this ribosomal RNA (252 nucleotides) under uncultured bacterium. RNAcentral describes it as "partial 16S ribosomal RNA". It matches the Rfam family "Bacterial small subunit ribosomal RNA", at positions 524 to 776 of the family's 1533-position model. The record is from RNAcentral.